RNAcentral lists this unclassified non-coding RNA (1801 nucleotides) under Apis florea (little honeybee). RNAcentral describes it as "glycine-rich cell wall structural protein 1.8, transcript variant X5". Lineage: Eukaryota; Metazoa; Arthropoda; Insecta; Hymenoptera; Apidae. The record is from RNAcentral.
UUUAGAAAUAAGUGAAAUAUAUAUCUAUAAAUGGAAGGUGCACCAGCUAGUAGAGGUGGAUUUCGCGGUGGUCGUGGUGGUCCUGGUGGUCCUAUGAGAGGACGCGGAGGUUUUGGAGACAGGGGAAGGGGUGGACCUCCAAGAGGAGGAGGAGGUAUGAUGAGAGGUGGUAGAGGUAGUGGACCUGGAGGUGGUAUGAGAGGUGGACCACCUGGAAUGAGAGGCAGAGGUGGUCCUCCUGGUAGAGGUGGUCGUGGUGGUGGACAUUUUCCUCCUGGAGGACCACCAGAUCCAGGAAUGUCUACUGGUCCAGGAGGUGGUGGACCACCAUUGCCAGGAAUGGGAGGUCCACCACGUGGUGGCAGUAGAGGAGGUGGAAGCAGUGGUUUUCGAGGUAGAGGAAGAGGUGAUUUUGGUAGAGGAGAUAAUCGUGGAGGUAGUAGUAAUUUUCGAGGUAGAGGAGGAAUGGAUAGAGGCAGCAGAGGUGGAUCUAGGGGAGGAUCUGGCAGAGGUGGUCCAGGAGGCAGAGGUUUUGGAGAUCGUGGGAAUAGAGGUAGUGGACGUGGUGGUGGUGGUCCAUCAAAAAGAGGUGGUGGACCUCCAGGUUCGAGUGGACCUUCAAAAAGACCAAGAUUUGAUCAACCAUCUUCUCAACCUGCAAAUGGUUAUGCAACACAACCACCAAGUCAAGGCGGAUAUGGAGGAAGUACUAGCAAUGCUUAUGGUGGAGGACAACAACAACCACAACAGCAACAGCCUGUGGGAUAUGGUGGCGGUUAUGGAUCACAAAAUUAUACUCAAUCAUCAUAUCAAAGUUAUGAAAGUUACCAGCAACCUCCAGAUUAUGGUCAAACAGCUGGAUAUCCACCAUCAGCAGCUACUGAUAGUAGGUAUGGUGGAGCACCUACUGUACCAGCUACAGGAGCUUUCAGUGCUGGUGAUCCUUAUAGUUAUGGCAAAGCACCACCAUCAGAUUACUCGAGUCAAGAUGGUGUAUAUGGAAAACAAGAUUAUGGCGUAACAACAACCUGAGAUACUUAGGGAACAGAAUGAAAGAAAGAGAGAGUACCUUCCCUCUGUUACCAGCAAGGAGAAUACCGAUUCACACAAAUAACUAUACAAAUUUAUAUGAAUAAAUGACGACUGUAUCAUAAAUGUUAUUAAUGUCCAAUGGUAUCAGGUAUCACAUAAAUGAAGCCUAGAAAAUAUUGUUUUUUCUGUUAGAGUAUAUUAUGAUAUCUUUCAUUAAUUAGAAUGUCUUUAUUUAAUUUUUCUAAGUGACUAAAAAAACAUUUGAUCUUUGUGAUGCAUCUUUUUUUCAUUCAAGCAAUUCUUUUUCAAUAUAAUAAAUAAUAAUCAGCAUCACUCAAUCUAUUAUUUUCCAACUUAUCAUAUGCAAAAAUUUAAUUGCAUCUUGUACAUAUAUAUACAUAUAUAGAUAGACAACGAAAGCAUAUUUAAAAUGAAAAAGAAAAAGAUAAACAUUAUAUAGAAAAAAAAGCAAUGGAAAAGCAAGCAACAAGAAUAUCGAAUUAAAUCUAUGCUAACAUGUAUUACGCUCAUAUAUAUUAAAAGACAAAUGCUCGAGUAAACCUCAACCCGAAUUCAGGUAUAAAAUAUAAUAUAUAUGCAACAAUUUUAAAAUUCUAUUCCCGCUUUAUACAUACGAUACCUGCAGUAUAUUUUUAAAUUAUAAUAAUGACAAUAAGGUAACAAUCGAAAGGUACACAUUAAAAAUUCUUUUAAAGAACACAUUUGUUUAUAAACACACACUAUGAUUUAUAGUGACGUUAAAAUAAAA